UGGGGAAUUUUGGACAAUGGGGGAAACCCUGAUCCAGCCAUCCCGCGUGUGCGAUGAAGGCCUUCGGGUUGUAAAGCACUUUUGGCAGGAAAGAAACGUCGCGGGUUAAUACCCCGCGAAACUGACGGUACCUGCAGAAUAAGCACCGGCUAACUACGUGCCAGCAGCCGCGGUAAUACGUAGGGUGCAAGCGUUAAUCGGAAUUACUGGGCGUAAAGCGUGCGCAGGCGGUUCGGAAAGAAAGAUGUGAAAUCCCAGAGCUUAACUUUGGAACUGCAUUUUUAACUACCGGGCUAGAGUGUGUCAGAGGGAGGUGGAAUUCCGCGUGUAGCAGUGAAAUGCGUAGAUAUGCGGAGGAACACCGAUGGCGAAGGCAGCCUCCUGGGAUAACACUGACGCUCAUGCACGAAAGCGUGGGGAGCAAACAGGAUUAGAUACCCUGGUAGUCCACGCCCUAAACGAUGUCAACUAGCUGUUGGGGCCUUCGGGCCUUGGUAGCGCAGCUAACGCGUGAAGUUGACCGCCUGGGGAGUACGGUCGCAAGAUUAAAACUUAAUGAAUUGACGGGGUCAUAGCUGUUU
RNAcentral lists this ribosomal RNA (581 nucleotides) under uncultured bacterium. RNAcentral describes it as "partial 16S ribosomal RNA". It matches the Rfam family "Bacterial small subunit ribosomal RNA", at positions 355 to 935 of the family's 1533-position model. The record is from RNAcentral.